RNAcentral lists this ribosomal RNA (253 nucleotides) under uncultured bacterium. RNAcentral describes it as "partial 16S ribosomal RNA". It matches the Rfam family "Bacterial small subunit ribosomal RNA", at positions 524 to 776 of the family's 1533-position model. The record is from RNAcentral.
UACAGAGGUCUCAAGCGUUGUUCGGAAUUACUGGGCGUAAAGGGUGCGCAGGCCGCGCGGGCAGUCAAUUGUGUAAUUCAGGGGCUCAACCCCUGGACUGCGCUUGAUACUUCCGCGCUCGAGCUUUGGAGAGGAGUCUGGAAUUCUCGGUGUAGCAGUGAAAUGCGUGGAUAUCGAGAAGAACACUUAGGGCGAAGGCAAGACCCUGGACAAAUGCUGACGCUCAUGCACGAAGGCUAGGGUAGCGAACGGG